This 788-nucleotide long non-coding RNA is filed under the name Elaeis guineensis (African oil palm). RNAcentral describes it as "long non-coding RNA (EGUI_LNC002893)". Lineage: Eukaryota; Viridiplantae; Streptophyta; Magnoliopsida; Arecales; Arecaceae. The record is from RNAcentral.
UGGUCCUCCAAAUCGUGGUUGACCUAAGCAGACUUGAUCAAUCCCUCCGACAAAAUUAUAAUGUUGUGGAUCAUCUGCAAAACAGAAAACAAAAUGGCUAAGUCAUCUACUUGGCCAAAAGUAAUUCAAAAAGAAAUCAAAUAAGGAAAAAUCGAAUACUUAUCCCAAUCAACGACUUGUAAGCGCCCGACUGAAUCUUUGAGAUUGGGCGUGCCUACCUGACUUCCCAGUUUGCGGAAAGUAUGAUCAUUCUCACCAACUCUCCGGCAAGUUGGUGGUCUUGAAGUGCCAGAUCGGUGACUUUGAAGUGCAUCUCGAUCGCAAUAGUCGGCUCCCUGGAAGGUAUGUCUGGACUAUAGUCCAUAGUGAAAGUGGAGAGCAUUGGGGUCUUACCUUUGACAGCAUCCGUGUCGGUAGCUUCCCGACCAACUGCUCGACUUUCUCUGGACUCAGCUUGGAUCGAAAGGGCUUAUACCGCUUCAGUCGAUCUUACCAGUGCUUCGACGACCACCACAUUGUCGUCAAUCGGGGGAGAAGCAGCAAUCGUCACGACUUCGAUGGUAGGUGGUAGAGACGAGCGCUCUGGCGGUAUUUGGAUCGAUGAUGGCGGUACUCGAGGUGGUGAUGACGGCUGUGUACUCCUCAGUACCUUUGAAGGAGACUCUUCUCUUGACUUUUUUGAUAGUCAAGAGGGACCACCGGGCCUGGAUGCCACCUUGGUCUUCUUCUUCUGAACCGCCUCCUUGAGAGAUCUCGCCAUAAGCCUCAUGCCUAUACGAACACGAUAA